UGCUUGUCAAUCUGUAUCCCAUUCUUCAGGUAUAGUUUUCUUUGAUCACAGAUCGACAGGUGAUCCGUCCUUUCUCCCCCUUUCGUCAUAAGGCGUGGUCUGACUCUGAGAAAAGAAAUUCCUGUGUUUAGGUCCCUACUAAGCAGAAUUCGUAAACUAUGCAAAGGCUCUUUGAAGACUUUUUCCAAAGUUUUUAGCAAAAAAAGCAAAAACAAUUCUCAACGCCCUUACGAGGUAGUGAUGAGUUAAACUACUCGUGUUGGCAUGGAAGUCAGCCCGGUAAACUGAUUCCAUUCUGCUACUAGGGUUCCAAACCUUCCCCUGAGCUCUAGAAUCUAUAAAUACCUUUUCAACUCAAGAAAUGCUAAAGCUAUUUAGAGUUGGUAUUUCUAACUAAGUCGGAAGGAGGGCUUUGGGCAAAGAGCAAGUNCCGCAAGUGCAUUCGCUAUUCGAUUCCAUCCUAAAUCCCACCAAUUCCAAAGUGUGUAUCUCUUCUUUACUUUUAAGUGACAAGGGGGGUGACAAAGGGUAUACUUUCUUCUCUAUGUCGCCGUCUCAUCAAUGAGCGUAGAUUAAUAGCCAAGCCUACCCUUUUGUGCUUGUCAAUCUGUAUCCCAUUCUUCAGGUAUAGUUUUCUUUGAUCACAGAUCGACAGGUGAUCCGUCCUUUCUCCCCCUUUCGUCAUAAGGCGUGGUCUGACUCUGAGAAAAGAAAUUCCUGUGUUUAGGUCCCUACUAAGCAGAAUUCGU
This 749-nucleotide long non-coding RNA is filed under the name Solanum pimpinellifolium. RNAcentral describes it as "long non-coding RNA (SPIM_LNC000201)". The record is from RNAcentral. Lineage: Eukaryota; Viridiplantae; Streptophyta; Magnoliopsida; Solanales; Solanaceae.